Molecule: long non-coding RNA, 615 nt
Filed under: Malus domestica (apple)
Lineage: Eukaryota; Viridiplantae; Streptophyta; Magnoliopsida; Rosales; Rosaceae
Description: long non-coding RNA (MDOM_LNC011308)
Source: RNAcentral
UUGUUUUUAAAUUCGUCCAAAACCAAUCCCCCUUUGUUUUAAAGUGUCAAAUUAGUUAGUAAGUGUUUUAGUUUGUGUUUUUAAGUGUCUUAGGUCAAGUUAAAACCAAUUUUCGUCCAAUUUUGUGUCUAGUGUUCAAAACUGCCCAGAUUGUGUUUUUAAGGCAGUUUUGAGUGUUUUGGGGCAGUUUUGAGUCUUUUGGUUUGUUUUGGUGUUUUAGAGUUUAGUUUUGCAUUCUUUGAGUCUAGUUUAGUAUUUUAAACUUGUUUUUACGUAUUUGAGUCAAUUCCAAGUGAUUUUGCAAACCCUCCUAAUCCCCGGUCUAGAACGAUCCCUACUUACAUACAUUGCUACAAUUGAUAAAAAGAGGGUUUAAUUUGAGUGCUAGUUAAAUAUCACAUCAGUAGGAGGAGGCUAUCAUCCACCACAUUCAAAGGCUUAUUCGUUUUCUGCUGCUCAGGUACGCUUAAAAUAAAGGAAGAUAUUUGAAACGACCCAUGAAGCAUGAAAACAUUCCCCAUGAUGCAUGAACCCCAUAUGUUUAUAUUUUCCUUCCGAUAUAUAUAUUGUAUAUGUUCAUAUAUUUGUCACUAUAUAUAUUUGUUUCAUGCAUCG